AGCGAACGUUUGCGGCGGGCCUAACACAUGCAAGUCGAACGGGCUAGCAAUAGUCAGUGGCGCACGGGUGCGUAACACGUGGGUAAUCAACCCUUCAGCUCGGGAUAACGCCUUGAAAGGGGCGCUAAUACCGGAUGCGACGCGAGGAGCCUCGGCGCUUCGCGGGAAAGAUUCGCAAGGAUCACUGAAGGACGAGCCUGCGGCCCAUCAGCUAGUUGGUGAGGUAAGGGCUCACCAAGGCGAAGACGGGUAGCUGGUCUGAGAGGAUGAUCAGCCACACUGGAACUGAGACACGGUCCAGACUCCUACGGGAGGCAGCAGUGGGGAAUAUUGCGCAAUGGGCGAAAGCCUGACGCAGCCACGCCGCGUGAGCGAUGAAGGCCU
Molecule: ribosomal RNA, 384 nt
Filed under: uncultured bacterium
Lineage: Bacteria
Description: bacterial SSU rRNA
Rfam family: Bacterial small subunit ribosomal RNA
Source: RNAcentral